Molecule: long non-coding RNA, 6694 nt
Filed under: Hordeum vulgare
Lineage: Eukaryota; Viridiplantae; Streptophyta; Magnoliopsida; Poales; Poaceae
Description: long non-coding RNA (HVUL_LNC014095)
Source: RNAcentral
GGUCUCCUCCCACCUCGGGAUCCCCCAGAUCCAAUCAGCAGCCAAACACCACAAGCCUUCGAGACAGCCUCCUCCCCUGCCUCCCGGACGCGUCCAUGGAUGCUCGCGGCUCCCUUCGUCCGUGCGCAAGCAGCAACCAGGAGCCCGAGCUCUUCCUCGGCCUCGAGGAAGGCCAACUGCGUCCAAGCUUUGCCAAGUCUGCAGCAGCAGCCCGUGCAUCUUCAGAUGCCGCCGUCUCCAAGCAACAACCCGCCACGACCGAGCCCGUACUUCCAUGGCCCCGUCCUCCCUGUGCCCCAGUGCCUCGUCGACCCCGCCGCCUCCAGGAGCUCUGGCCGCCGCCGUCGACCUCCCAGGCCAGAUCCUCUCCCCUCCCCAUCUCCUUCUUGCUCCUCCACCUCUCUCUAAUAUUCUCUUUCUCUCCCGUUGCAAUCAGGAGCAGCCAUGGAGGCGCCGAGGUCCUUCAAGCCGUGCCUCGAUCUACAGCUGCCGGUGACCGGAGUCGUCAUCGAGCUCGGAAAUGGGACCCCCUUGACCGGAUCUACCCGGCCCGCCGGCAAAGAGCCCCAUCGGAGCCGCCCUGCAAUCUCCUGCGUCGCCCUCUGUUCGUCCCUGACGAACUGAGCUAUGCAGGGUACGCCUACAGGUUGUGCGUUUUUUUUUCUUUUUACUAUAGAACGUCCGAAGUUGUAGUUAUAGAAAGCCUUGAUGUUGUUCCCUUUCGCAAGCACGUUGUUAGCCGAGCUGGUAGCGAGCCGCACUCUGAACCAAGGGGUCUCGGUUUCGAAUCCCAGACAACCCUGUUGUUUAUUUGAUUUUUGGUUCAGGUUCAGCGUGUUGCUUGUUCAUGUAGUAUAGGAAUAUCUUUUCCCACAAAAGAACCACCUUGCCCAGCUGGUCAUCCAAGCGACCUAGCAAGCUGAGGUCCAGGGAUCAAAUCCUGCUGGCGCCCCUUUUGUUUUUUUUGUUUUUUUUCCUAUUGCAGUAGGAGUAGAGUUAGUUUAGUUAGGUUAAGUUCCCAUCUGUGGUCAGCUGUGCUACAGUAGAAUAGUGGUGUGGUGUUCUGCAUAGGGUACGCUAGGUUUAGGGUUCGAUUCCCCCUGCCCCCUUUUUAUUUUCUUUUAGGUGAGUGUGUGAGCGCAGUGCUAGUGUGUUUGGUGUAGCGGUAGGGGUGUGUGUGUUGUCGGGGCAUGGCCCACUUGCAUACACCCAUUAGGGCCCCUGGGGAGUAUGACCAGUGGGACCCCCUGAUGUUUAUAAGAUUUUUGUUUAGUUUAGUUUUUGUGAUGUAUUUCCAAAUCUGGAUUAUUCCAGAAGAGGAAUAUGCCAAAUCUGGCAUAUCAAGAACAUCCCCUGUUCUUGUUAUUAGCGGAGUUUGAUCUUGUGUAGUUUUUCCUUUGCUGUUUCUGGUAUUUUCUGCAUGCAUAUAUAGCAGUGUAAUAUAUGGAUUUGGGGUAGAAGAACCCAGUGAAUCCAAUCGUGGCACUGGAUUCCAGUUGUGAGCAUAUAGGCAGAAGUGUCACUUUGUGAUAAGGUGGCAUUUGUUUAUCGAUGUAGGAUGGUUUAAGUGCAUCAUUAGGGGUUGGGCAUCCAUGCAUCAUAUUGGGUAGUGCAUCCUGUUGUGCAUGUGUUGUGGUGAAUAUUGUGUGUUGAUUCUUGUUUCCAUUUGCUUCGUCUCGUUAGAGUUCCGCAAGCGUGUCGGAAACGUGAGGAUCCAUUCAACCAUGUCGGUUCGUCUGCUUCAUGGAACCGUUCUUCUUCCAAGCGGGAUCUCAGGCAAGAUGACCAUUUCCCCAGAUACCAUUACUAUCAUUGCCAUGCUAGUUUUAUCGCUUCUAUCGAUUACGUCUCGUUGCCUACCACAUGUUAAAUAUCAGCCUCCCAACAAUGCCAUGAAAGCUUCAACCUGUUCAACCUAGCAAACCACUGAUUGGCUAUGUUACCGCUUGCUUAUCCAUGUUGUUAGCGUUGCCAAUUGCAGGUACAGGUAAAGGUUACUUGACGCGAGCGCGUUGAUUGUUCAUUUGGAGUUGCUUCUGCUUCUUCUUCAUCGAUCUAGGAAGGGUUCCAGGCCGGCAGCCUGGGAUAGCAAGGAUGGACGUCGUUCUUCUUUUGUCGUUUAUUUUCGUCCCUAGUCGGACCCUGCUCUUACUCUUGAUGAUUAUGUAAUGUACUGAUGUGACUCUGAUGUAGCCUGUGGCGAGUGUAAGCUAAUUCCAUAUAUCUCUUCUUUUCAGUACAUGUACUUGUAACGAUAUCCGUUCUUGCGACAUGACGAGAUGCGUUUCUAUCCCUGACGAGGCCCUCGUGCCAAAUUGAGGAUAGGGUCGCAUCUUGGGCGUGACAAGUUGGUAUCAGACCAGUACCGACCUAGGAGCCCCCUUGAUUGAUCGAAUUUGGCCAAGUCGAGUCUAGUGAAAACUAUUUGAGUCUUAGUUAUAUAUCGGAGAGUAGGAUUCUUUUUUCUCCUCUUCUAUGCUAUGGUGAGGAAUCUUGACGUAAUAAUUUACUCUACUCCUUUUCUCACUCAAAUUUUUUUAGGAUCACGCGGAUAUAUUUGGAAUCUAUAUGAUGCCGAUGUGACGGAGUUCUGUCUUGGUGCCUCCUGUCUGACUUGAUCUUCUUCCGGGGAGUUGAGCUCCAGGGGAUUCUCGAGCACAUCGUUAUCAUUCAGAUUUCUUAGUACCUCAGAACGAAGGAUGUUCGUAAUUGCUUCAAUACUAGUAGUGGUGAGAUAAUCCCGAUGUCCCCAGUACUGGUGCAGAUUGUUCGGGAGUACUGCCAUACUUUGUAUCGUUGUGAUCACGAGGGUAUGUAGUAGAUGAAGGUCCGAGAUUCUGGUCGUGUGUUGACGGAUGUGAUACAAGUGACGGGUUAGUAUAGGAGUUGUGUGAUUAUUACUCCUUGUAUCCGUGUACCAGAUUGCAUGACCAGAUAUUUCGGGAAUUCAUAGGUGGGAAUUCAAGUAGUUGCUUAUAGGACAAUCUUCCAACAAAUGCAUGAUGUUAGGUUGGGGUUCGACAUCUAGUGGAUUCGUUUGUUCACGGUCGACUUACAGCGGUACACGUUGUGUCUUAAAGAGUCCUUGUAGCUUGCUAAGACUCGGGGACGCUUCGUAUGUCGUGUGCACUGCCUUGCACUUGAUGGCUACUGUAAAAUCGAGCCCGUGCGAUCCUGUCCACGAAAAUAUCGGACGAAAUCUUUCUCAUGAGUUUGUUCUAGCUUGUUUCAUAAGCCUCAUCCCUUUGUUUUGCUGAAUGUGGUAAUUCAAGUUGCUUCGAUGUCAAGUGGUGAUUUCAGAUCUUUCCUAAGAGGUGUUCUCAUAUUUUUAUGAGAGUAUUAAUUCUUUUGCUCUAUCAGAUUGUCUUAUCAAUUCUUGUCUACCGGAGUUGUCAUGUUAAUUUUUUUUCAACCGGUGUCCUUCUCUUUAGUGAAUUCAAUCCUCUCCAAUUUUUGCAAGAUCAUUCUCUCGUUUUAUUCCGCAGUUCAUCUCAUCUGUCCCAUGUUGUCUUUGUUUUCCCGCCCUCCCACCUUUUUUCGCAGUGGCUCAAUUUUCUUUUCAUUAUGCUUCCGUUGUGUGUUCUUUUCUCUCUUACCCGGUGAUUCAUUGUGAAGAUUCUCAGGAGUCGAAUUCAUCAUUUCUUCAUUUUGUUCUUUUCCGGUGAAUUCAAUUUAGUUGUCUGUGUUCAUCAUAUCCUUUUCAUACUUGUAAUUAUUUCCUAUGUUGGAAAUUUUUAUCAGUCUAUUUUCUUGUUGUUAUUUCUCUCUAUUCUAUCCGGAGCGUUAAAGUUAUCUCAGAAUUCUUGUUCUCAAUUCUUUAAUUAUUUCGGGGUGCUAACCUCAUCUAGUUCUCUUCAUACCGGUGCAAUAUCUAUCGUUCUAAGAAAUCUUUUCAUCGGUGGUUUCUUUGAGUGGGCCCAUAACCCACAGGUUCUUUCCCAGGAUCUUUCCUGGCUCUUUUAAUUUCUUUCCGGAGAUCUUUAAUUCUUUUCAACUAUGAUGUAAGUAUGAAUUUCAUCAGUCAUAUCCCUUCUCCAAGGCCUAUUUGAAUUAAUUGUCUUAUUUCGCUCAACCUUGCAUUCUUCUUUAUUCCGGAGUGUCUCAACUAUUCUUGCUGAUGUUCUUCUCGUCAUUCUCUCCAUUGAAGAUUCGAAGGAGUGUUUCUCUCAGUCUUUUUCCAUUCUUGUGAAGAUUGUCAUCUCAGCUUCACGUUAUCCUCUCAUUUGUUGUCAAUCAUGAGUAUCCCUUUCUUGCUAUUCGGUGCAUUCUGAAUUGUUUUCAUUCUCGAUCCUCCGAAGGCCAUCAUUUCAAAAGAUUCUUCGUUCUCAGCUUUUAGCUUUCAUCCUCAAUUCUUCUCAAUUGUUAUCUCUUCGUUCGUCUCGGUUAUUCCGACGCUUUGUUCAAGUUUUCUCUCAGGUGGUUCAUGAUCUCUUCAUUCUCUUGCAUCUCCAUUAAUUCUUGGUUGCCUCAUUUAUUUCAAUUCUCACCGGUGCCUCUUUCAAGAUUUCUUCUAGUUUGUGCUUAUAUUUCUCCUUAAUCAUUUCAAGAAGAAUAAGUGGUAUGCUAGAUCCGUUGCUUGUCAUCAAUUUAACUUGAUGAAGGAUAAGCAUAACAUAAUUCUUAUUCUUGUUAUUCCUUCUUCCAAGUGAUUUCAAUUCUUCUUACGGAGUGCCUCACGAUAUCAAUUCUCUUCUCUAGUGUUCUUAUCUUUCUUUUCCGGAGUUCCAAUUUUUCUCAAGUAUCUCUUCAUGUUGCUUCAUCUAAAUCCUGGCAAGGUCAUAAUUUUAUUCUUUUCUACCUUCAUAUCUUUGCAUCGUUCAUUUGUAUACGGAGGUCCUUCUUGGUGGUGCAUCAAGGUUUUAAUCCAUUAUCAAGUGUUCUUCAAGAUUCUUGUUGGAGAACCUCAAGUAUCCUUUCUCUUGCAUUUCUAUGUGCAAUUGUUCUUUCCUUAUCCUUGAGGUGGUAUUAUAGCAUUUUUGUUAGUGUAGGAGUCUCGAAGAGAUUUCCUUUCAAGAAUGAGAUAAUUAAACCCACCAAUUCUAUGAUCAUGAGAUAUUUUCAACCCAUGAUUUCUUCAUUGAGCUAUCUUGGUUUGGACUUCACCUAAAACUUUUCCUAUGGAUUGUGCUAUCAUGGUGCUUGUCAUUAAUCCGAGUUCUCAAUGUAUCCUCUUGGUGUAAGAAAUUGUUCAUAUCUUGUUUCUCCCAAUCAAUCCUUGUUUCUGUCAGUGGCUGGUUGUCAACUCGUUGUUUGAAAAGGUCUCCAUAAGCCCACUACUAUCUUGUUCUUUUCGUUGUUGUUUUCCAACAACUUCGUUCAAUUCUCCUUGCAAGGAUGCUUGCCAAGUUCAUUUGAGUUAGUAGUGGUCAUUCUCUCUUCAUUCUCUUCUUCCGUAUGAGCUAGUUCCUAUUCUAUUGUUCCGGAGGCAUUGUGAUGUUGCUCUUUUGGGUCUAUUAUGUUGUUCUGUCAAGAUCAUGGUGUUCCCUUGUUAUAUUUAGUUGUUGGUUGUGAAUAUUGUCUAAUUCUCCUACCUUUUCGAAUUUUUUGUCCCAUUUUCCUACCGAAGUGCUGCCGAAAUUUUUCGUGAGUUCUGGCUUCUUUCUCAUGUCAUUCCUCAUCUCCUUGCAACCUUCAAGGGUCGUUGGUUUCACUCGUUUGUCAAAGAAGCGACUAAGUUUUUACCUCUUGUUCUUUCUCAUCCUCUCCCCCUUUCAUUCUUGGAUCUCGGGGCGAAAUCCUCUUGUAGUGUAGGAGAGUUGUGACAGCCCGAUGCCGACGUUCCAGAAGAUUCCCUCUCCUUCCGUUCUUGUCGUGUGGUUAGUUUAAUUUGUUGCAUUAUCAUCGCAUCAUGCGCAUCAUCUGCAUUGCAUCGGCAUCUCCGUGCCGCCAGUUUUCAAACUUGCAUCCGUUGUUAGUUGCCGGUUCGCGUCGUUGUCCGUUCCGAGCCCGACCGCACACGCACGCGCCCGCGGCAUCAUCGUAACCCUGUUUUAAAAGUGUGCGUAAAACUUUCUCUGGUCGGGUUGAGAUUUGACGUGCGGUCUUAUUUUAUAUAGCUAGGCCGCCUGACGAAUUUCGUCGCGAUCGGAGUUCGUCUGGUACCCGAACGGUCGACCGUAGCGGCACCGUAUUCGGUCUAUUGUCGCACGUGUGUCGGUGUUUGAAACCCCGAUGCCGGGCUGCCCGUUUUCCCUCUCAUCUCCGCCUAGCCUCUCUGCACAGUGCACCGACCUGCGCGCAAUCCAGUCCGAAAACCUCCCGGAACCCGAACCGGGCGAUCGUGACCGUUGGGUCCGGAUCAACCCCAUUUUACCGCAAACAGUCAUCAGUUUGUCCAAUGGUCUCCUUAACCUAGUUUUUUUCCGACCGUCUGAUUUAAUAGGAGGGACCAAAUAACCCCUAAUCUAACCCAAGCCACCUAGUCUAAACCUAGACCAAUCCCUAAAAAUCCUCCCCCUGUCCUAUGGACGCCGCCACCCACUCCAGGUCUCCUCCCACCUCGGGAUCCCCCAGAUCCAAUCAGCAGCCAAACACCACAAGCCUUCGAGACAGCCUCCUCCCCUGCCUCCCGGACGCGUCCAUGGAUGCUCGCGGCUCCCUUCGUCCGUGCGCAAGCAGCAACCAGGAGCCCGAGCUCUUCCUCGGCCUCGAGGAAGGCCAACUGCGUCCAAGCUUUGCCAAGUCUGCAGCAGCA